CUCCGAAGAAGAAGAUGCCUCUACUGCUGAGCAGGCAUUUUUUCAGGUGCAUUGGAUGCGACUCAGGUGAGGACAGGGGAACUGUAGGCUCAAGUGAGAGGACUGAUGUAGCAGCUCCAGCUCUCCAGGUGCACUGGAUGCAGGUCAAGUAGGACAGAGGACCUGGAGCGACAAGUAAGAAGACUGACCACAUGCAGCGGCUCCAGCUCUCCAUAUAUUGUGUCUGGGAUACGGAUGCAGAUGCAGACUACACAAAGCACAGAAGAUGGGCCUAGAUGCACAGCUACAC
Molecule: long non-coding RNA, 289 nt
Organism: Sardina pilchardus (European sardine)
Lineage: Eukaryota; Metazoa; Chordata; Actinopteri; Clupeiformes; Clupeidae
Exons: 3
Source: RefSeq, a predicted model, not a curated record